RNAcentral lists this ribosomal RNA (2139 nucleotides) under Triticum aestivum (bread wheat). RNAcentral's name for it is "partial small subunit ribosomal RNA". The record is from RNAcentral. Lineage: Eukaryota; Viridiplantae; Streptophyta; Magnoliopsida; Poales; Poaceae.
CCGUGUGUCUAGUUAGGGAUCUCCGUGGCGGCGACCAAGACUAGGUCAGGUCCUGCUCCAGCCCACGGCUACGGCUGUCGGUACCCGAUCAUCUCCUAACCACGAAACCUCGCUCUCCCACAACAGAGCGUCCAAAUGUCAAGAGUAAACCGGGCAGCCACAAACGAGAAGAGAAUCAACGUGGUUUCCUUUCCUUCAGACUGUUUUACUUGGCACGUUCUUCUCCUCCCUCUAAUAAAGAGGAGACCAAUACGCGUCACCAAACAGAGUACCGAGCCGGCCCUCGAACGUCACACCACGACUACCGCUUAUUGUGCUGGGACAGCAAGUCGCUGCAGCUCCGUUGUAAAUGAGGUCUUCACUUUCCAAGUCCAAAUUUGCCACAUUAAAUGUGGCAGCUUGGAGAACUACGAACGUCGGGAGACUAUUUCUUUCGUCAGCUUCCAGGACGUAGUGGUAAACGUAACUAAAAUUCUCCGCCGACGGUUAAACUACUAUUUCAAUCUUUACGAGUCCUACGGCCUAAGUUCCGACACUAUCAUAUACUAUUGUUUCUGGAGCCACAGGAACAAAGUUACCGACCUUCGAGUAGGCCAUAGCUGUAUAUACGACAGAAGUAGAGAUUCUGCAGUCCUCUCCACAACUUUGUUAUAAGUCCAGUUUCACUACGAGUCCACACCUAUUAUAGUUGCGCACUAUUGAGUCGAAACAGUUAGUACCGUUAUAGAAAGUGUCGUGACGAACGAUACAGACGACAAGAACGGUGAACAAAGAAACACUCUUCUGUGGUCUACUCUUCCCUGUCCCGAGCUUAUGGACGUCGUGCUCUUAAAGUACCUUACUCGUCAGUCAAUCAGUUCCGUUACGGCUCAGAAUAAAAAUGUUUUCAGGUCCUUCUGUUAACAUGAAGCAGUUGUACACGGUAAACGAACCUUCUGAUGUCACAACCACUUUUCUAUUCCCACGACGGAACAGCAGUGUUCAAGGUACGACGAACGCACCUGGACACCGAGUGUAGUACCUCCUGUAAGACGGGACAUACGUUCGCUCUACGUUUACGACCUUACAGUUUAAAGGGAGGUAGUCUCAGAUGGGGAAACGAAAGAAGACGAUAAGGGAACGGUCGACUUAGCUGUCGAAACAGAAGAAAAGCAAGUUACCAUCGUCGUAGAGGAGGUUCCUGUUAUUCGGCCGUAGGAAGUACCGUCAGGUACAGGGCGUGAUUGAGGUUAAGGUCAUAGGAGGUGUAGGCAUUGGGUACGUCUACAACAAGGUUGAGUGGACGAUAGUCAUGUUCAUCCUCGUCACAUCUGGAACGUUUGUACAGUAGCGGUACCAGAUUGUGAGACUUGGAACGUAGGCCCGUGAGGGACCCGCCUCCCGUAAAAAGAGGCGGCUAGUCGUAGUCUAUGAGUAGUGGUGUUCAGAGGGGAAAGCCAAUGUCUAAAAGACCUGUUAAACAUCCAGGUGGGGUGUAGGGGGCAAGGCUCUUGCCUAGAGGUUCGAUAAUAGAACCGAGAAGUCCCGUCGUCAUGGGAAUGGACUCCGUAGCGUGCCUCAGUCCCGGCUCGAAUAAAUGGUACCACGGGGUCAGUGGCGUUGUCUGGGUCGACGUCCUACCACCGCUGAGCCGCUGCUCAGAUAGUCGAAGUCGUAGUUGGGUCAGCGAGGCAGUCCGGAUGGACGUCGUAACGGGGCUAAGACUACACUCGAAUAGAUGACGCUGCAGUCGGGUCAGCGACGGUCCCACGACUAACGGGAAUGUCCAAGUGGUAACUGCAGGUCAAUCUGGACAAUGGUAUCUUAUUCGAGAGGCGCCGGCGUGGUAUCACUUCGCCUAAACUUACUCGUCUUCCCUCGACGGACCUUCUUCUAUGAUCUUGGCCACUGGAAAUUAGACUGGUUGAUCGACCCUUGGAACCUUCUGACCUUUACUGAGACGACUGGUGUGACUCAAACGUUCCUAACAGAACUCCGCACACACGAUGACUACUACGGUUCUCACAUAUAAUAAUGUCAAAUUAUCCCUAGACAAUCAACGUCAGUCUUUACGGAACACGAUCAUUCUACUGCAUAUAUAUAAGACAAGUACUUACGAAGUCUCUUUAUAUAGUUAGAACAAGCAAGAGUGAGACAAAA